GAAUAUUGCACAAUGGGGGAAACCCUGAUGCAGCGACGCCGCGUGAGCGAAGAAGGCCUUCGGGUCGUAAAACUCUGUCAUUGGGGAAGAAAAAAAUGACGGUACCCAAUGAGGAAGCCCCGGCUAACUACGUGCCAGCAGCCGCGGUAAUACGUAGGGGGCGAGCGUUGUCCGGAAUUACUGGGCGUAAAGGGUGCGUAGGCGGCCAAUUAAGUCAGAUGUGAAAUACCAGGGCUCAACCCUGGGGGUGCAUAUGAAACUGGUUGGCUUGAGUGCAGGAGAGGAAAGUGGAAUUCCUAGUGUAGCGGUGAAAUGCGUAGAGAUUAGGAGGAACACCAGUGGCGAAGGCGACUUUCUGGACUGUAACUGACGCUGAGGCACGAAAGCGUGGGUAGCGAAC
RNAcentral lists this ribosomal RNA (400 nucleotides) under uncultured bacterium. Its description in RNAcentral is "partial 16S ribosomal RNA". It matches the Rfam family "Bacterial small subunit ribosomal RNA", at positions 359 to 773 of the family's 1533-position model. The record is from RNAcentral.